RNAcentral lists this long non-coding RNA (459 nucleotides) under Glycine max (soybean). RNAcentral describes it as "long non-coding RNA (GMAX_LNC003870)". The record is from RNAcentral. Lineage: Eukaryota; Viridiplantae; Streptophyta; Magnoliopsida; Fabales; Fabaceae.
UAAAAUGCAUAGGUCUUCAAGUAUCUCAAGAGCGUCCAGUGAGUUCCUGGUUGACGUUACAGUCACAUCUUUAGCUUUCCCACCUCUUAAGAUGGCAGAUUCAUCACAUGACCUGCCAAUUCAUCAUCACUCUGCAGUGUCCGAUGUUACGAAGAAGGAAAUGACACUCCUUGUCCAUGGUAAGCCACCUGCACAAAAAGCCAUUCAUCUCAUACCUCUUGUCCUCAUCUUUUGUGGUUUUAUUCUUUGGAUUUUCUCUCAUCAGUGACGACAUGUACUGAAAGGGUGGGGGAAAAAGAGAAUUGUGAACAAGUUCAAUUCUAGCUCUUAUUUCUUAAUUAAUUCUUAUGUUUUCCAUUGACAAAAAGUUGUUUAUGGAUAAGAUCGAUCACGCUCAUGUAUGCCACGUAUAUUUUAUACUCAAGGAAGGAAAUUUUCAUUUGUUUUUCAUCAAGAUUA